CUUGCUGAUGGAGAGGAAUAGUGUCACUCCCAUUUGACUCGGUAACCCGGCAGCUUCCUGUCUUAAACGCAGAGCUGGCGCGCAGGACACUCCUCCUGCAGACACUUAUUACACAAGUUCAGCUGCACCUGGUGCAAAGCAGCCCUGAAAGCUCAGAAUUGAAGACGAAAUGUGGAGACCAGGCUCCUUCGAUUGAAAACCGCUACGAGGACACUCUCCGCAGUGGGCGGCCAGAAAGGAUUUCGGAUCAACAUCCGUAGAGUGGUCUGAUGCCAACCAGCAGUCCUGCCAGCAGUGACCUGCAAUUCCACUGGAUAUAGCAGGCAGGAUCUCUUUCCCUGGCCAUUUUUUGGAGAAGGUCCAGCUGAGAGGCUCAGACAGCCAUAAUGGAUGGGAUCUUUUUAGAGGUAUGGAGAAUGUCAUGGUUUCAACCCAAGAAGACAGCAGGGCCAUUAGCAGAAGUGAGACAAGGAGCUGGCUGGAAAGUGAAGAUCACAGGCAGAAGGCAGAGGCGCGGCAGGUGCCCCGAGUG
Molecule: long non-coding RNA, 532 nt
Filed under: Pongo abelii (Sumatran orangutan)
Lineage: Eukaryota; Metazoa; Chordata; Mammalia; Primates; Hominidae
Description: lincRNA
Source: RNAcentral